This is a long non-coding RNA of Bos taurus (domestic cattle), 444 nucleotides long. The record is from Ensembl. Lineage: Eukaryota; Metazoa; Chordata; Mammalia; Artiodactyla; Bovidae.
AGAGGCCAGCCUCUUUCCCACUACGCACAGUAGGGCCACACAGCCCGCCCUGAUGGCGAGACCCUCCACCGGGAGCCGAUGGAGAAGGGCUGGCCACAGACUCCUGGCCCAGACCACAGAGGCCAGCGGGAGAGACAGCCCAGGGACAGAAGAGCAAGAGCACUUGAAGGAAAAGAAAAAAAAAAAGAAGAAACGAAAACCACCCUUUUUCCAAAGCAAGACUCCCUCUGUUGCUGGUGCCGCUGCUGUUGCUGUUUAGCCCCUUCAGUCAAGUCUGACUCUGUGCGACCCCGUGAACUGUGGCCCACCAGGCUCCUCUGUCCGUGGAAUUCUCCAGGCGGAUUCUUUACCACUGAGCCACCAGGGAAGUCCUCCCAGCCCUCUAUCAAGCCCUUAUUCUCUUCUAGGUCAUGUCUCAGACCACAUCAGUGCUUGCAACAGUUC